Molecule: ribosomal RNA, 253 nt
Filed under: uncultured bacterium
Lineage: Bacteria
Description: partial 16S ribosomal RNA
Rfam family: Bacterial small subunit ribosomal RNA
Source: RNAcentral
UACGGAGGGUGCAAGCAUUAAUCGGAUUUAUUGGGCGUAAAGGGCGCGUAGGCGGGAAUGUUAGUCAGAUGUGAAAGCCCAGGGCUCAACCCUGGAACAGCAUUUGAAACUACAUUUCUAGAGGAUAGGCGGAGAAAACGGAAUUCCACGUGUAGCGGUGAAAUGCGUAGAUAUGUGGAAGAACACCGGUGGCGAAAGCGGUUUUCUAGCUUAGACCUGACGCUGAGGCGCGAAAGCAAGGGGAGCAAACAGG